This 271-nucleotide ribosomal RNA is filed under the name uncultured Ornithinimicrobium sp. RNAcentral describes it as "partial 16S ribosomal RNA". It matches the Rfam family "Bacterial small subunit ribosomal RNA", at positions 1114 to 1382 of the family's 1533-position model. Lineage: Bacteria; Bacillati; Actinomycetota; Actinomycetes; Micrococcales; Ornithinimicrobiaceae. The record is from RNAcentral.
GUUGCCAGCACGUGAUGGUGGGGACGUCAUAGGAGACUGCCGGGGUCAACUCGGAGGAAGGUGGGGAUGACGUCAAAUCAUCAUGCCCCUUACGUCUUGGGCUUCACGCAUGCUACAAUGGCCGGUACAGAGGGCUGCGAAACCGUGAGGUGGAGCGAAUCCCUUAAAGCUGGUCUCAGUUCGGAUUGGGGUCUGCAACUCGACCCCAUGAAGUCGGAGUCGCUAGUAAUCGCAGAUCAGCAACGCUGCGGUGAAUACGUUCCCGGGCCUU